GGGGAAAUCAAAAUUUCCAAGAACUUAUAAUACUUAGUUAUGCGUUCCUUCUAGAACACAAUAUGAAUUCGAACUUAGAAGUACAGUAUGAACAUUUCUCGCUUUCCCGAGCGACGAAAAGAAAAGGGCGCGAUAAGAAAUAAACUUCGAGAAAAGCAAUCCAACAUAGAACAAAACGAUGUUUCUAGAAAGAUGGUAGGGGUUAGAUGCCAUUCUCUACGUCCCAAUGACAUGAAUAAUCUGGGUUAACCAUUGUCUUUCCUGACAAUCCACACUCCAAAGGAUCAUGCUUUUGAUCCAACUAAGCAAUGUACACAUACAUAGCAAGGGAAUAUUAUUACAAUGUAAACAAAGAACCUAGCUUUACAAUAAUAAGUAAACAGAAACGGCGUGUUACGAGGAUGAGCGUUAUGACGAACCAAGAGUACCAAAGAGUCAUAAUCCCCACAUAUGGUCAUCUGACGUGAUCGUAAAGUAAAAAGUAGCUUGUGACCAAAGUUUCUCAUAACUCAUUUACCAUUCUCUAUAAAGAGUUAAACAAGGGGAUAUCACCAUUGUAGUUAACCAAGAAGAUUCAUCAGCAACGCUUACUUGGGUUCCCAUGAAUUUCAUUUUCUCGCAUCCCCCGUGAUCAAAAUACUUUUGUUGCAUUAAGACCUUAAAUGACUCCUUUUGCAAGGUAAUGUGCAAUUAUUUUUCCUCUUCUAUGUCAAGGUCGUGAAGCACUUUCAGUUGUGUGCUUGCUCCCUCAUGUCUUCAGUUUCUACUCGUUCUAUGAAGAAGCAAUAUUUUGACUCACUGAUUUCCUGCUACCAAACUCCUAUGCUAGAAGUUGAUUUGGUUAUGGUCUUCAGAACGAUCAUGCUUCUUAAGCAAUUGUCUCUUCAAUGAUAAUAUAUUCUUCAAAGAUCAUUAGUAUACCUUUAGUUUAUUUUUCAAAUAUGCUUGCUGACACUCAUUAAUUUGUAAAGAAUAGUCACCUCUUCUUAAUCCCACUAUAAUUAUUCCAUCCUGCUUUGAGCUCUUUAGCAACUUCAAGUCCAAAGUAAUUUGCUCUCUUCCAAAACUAGUUUGCUCUGGUUGUCUUCUCUACCAGUUAAUUUCCGUGAUUUGGUUAUAAACUUAGUGAAUUCGUUAACGUGAUAUAGUAUCACGAAAUUGUUGACCCAAAAGGGUAGUUGCUUGUUAUUCCUCUUCUCAAAUCCACUUGAGACCAAUCAUUUUCAGUCUCAUUAUAUUUGAGCAGCCAUCUGGUGAGACCUUAAACCUUUAAUUUGACCCUUUGUGUUUUCAGACAUACCUAUUGACAAGCGCUUUAUUUUACCUGAGUACUCUCAUCUUCUAAAUUUAAAUAUGACUGUUGUCUCUUGAUUUGAGCUUUUCUGCAGCUCCAUAUUUAAAGCUGGCAUAUUGCUUCGCCCUUGCUAGUUUCCUCUUGUUGCCCUCUUUAUUAGUCAGUUUCCCUAAACUGCUUAUAAACUCUAAAAAAAAAAUUCGUUGAUACGAUCUUCUAUCACAGUGUUGUUGAGCAAAUUGCAAUUGUUUGUUUUUCCUAUUCUUUUCAAAUCCAUUUGUAACCAACCAUCUCAGGUCUUCCUGUUAUCAUCUGGGGAUUCUUGAAUCUUUUCUACUUCACUGUUAAUUUUGAUUAUAUUAUUGGCAACUUAUUGUUGACAUCUACAUUCUAUUCAUCAUACCCUCACUUUCGCGAUUUAUUCCAUCUGGCUCUUCCCACAAUAAAAUUUCCAAGCUCUAUGGGUAUAGCCCUUUGAAGUUGUAUCUUUUCUUUUCUGGGAGUGAGCAUAAUGAGCCCAAUUGAGCCUAGUUUUUGCACUUCAUGAAAAUCUUUGUUGCAAGUUACUGGUGAGAGUUUGUGGUGAACCAAACACUCACGUAAUCGAAAUAAUUAUAAUCGUUUUAUUUUCAUGACUAUCUUGGAGCGUACACAAAGCAAGGACGAUUCGAAUAUUUCUCUUGGAAUCCCAAAUCCAGUUCCUAUCAAAGUUAAAACUGUUAGACCACCUCUAAAUUUCCUUGCGUGAGACCCUCAUGGGAGGCAAGACAUUGACCACUGCAAAAAAAAAAAAAAAACCACGGACAUGAAAAGGCAAAGUGGGAGCAAGCAGAGAAAAUGAAGGAGCAAUAUCCCAAGGUUUUUGUCUAAAUACUUCCUAAAUUUCGGGACGAAAUUUCUUUUAAGGAGGGUAGAAUGUAACAACCCAGAAUUUUAUAAGGGGUUUUUUUUUUACGAGAUCAAAUAAAAGCACGGUGCAGCUGAUAUUGAGAUUUUUCAAGGCAACACUAAAGUUUUAAAGAAUCUUACGUCAAGUGAGGAGAAUCUAGACAAGGCAACUUAUAACUUUUGUGCGUUAUUUAGCAAUUAUUUUCGAUGAAUAUCCACAGAAUAAAUCCAAAAUAAAAGUUGUUAAUGUCCGGCAUAUCCAUCGGAAGUUCGAAAAAGUCUUAUGAUACCAAUUUAUCGAAUCCUGAUCUAAAUCAAUUGGGGAGAAAUGUGCGAGUGCCAAAUAACCAAUUCGAUGGUUGUAGUAUCUUUCCAAGGAAGCCCGAUGUAUCACUCAUGUUCCCUACAUAAAGAAAGAAAAGAAAAAAAAAGUGAUUUAAGGAAAUAGAAAAAAGAAAUUGGAAAAUUGAAGGAGAUUUUUAUCCAUUUCUCUCCCAUUUACGGGAACCAUCUACACACUUUCAACUCCCACUUCUACACCGCCACACACAUACACACACUAAAUAUCUCUCCCUCUAUAAUUCUCUAUGAACAUCUCGCCACUCUCUUUCUAAACACACACAAAUACACGUAAUGUUGGGAAGGAGAUGGACUCCCCCAAGACCGCCAUCUACUGCUCCUCCGGCUACGAGCUCUUUCCCUACUAACUUCUUUUUCCACCGAUUCUCAAUUCGAAGAAUUCAGAGGCGGCGUCCUUUCUCCUCUGGCGGAUUCGCCACCAUCUCGUCGGAAAUCCGGGGUCCCGUCGGUGCGUGUUUCUCCUCUCCAAAGGCUAUCUCUGUGAGUCAAGGGUGGAGUCAGGAAAAUUCAAGUUAAAGAGUUUUAAGCGAACAAGGUAAGAACUGAAAGAAACCUAAAAAAAUCAAACUUGUCAAUAUCGGUGAGGAGGGUAUAAUUGGAAAAACUGACGCUAAAAUUGAAGGUGUUUUGCUGUGUGUGGGGCUCACAGGGAUCAAUCCUCUUCCGUUUAGAUUUCCCGGCACUUUUCCGACUUCCAUUGGUGGAGACGGCGGCGAAGGGAGGGGAGUAUGAGGCUAGUCCGGUUUUGAGCCCGUCAUGGGUUUGGAUUAUCAAUUGUGCUGGAUGUGAGUUGGAUUGGAGAAUCAAGCUUAAUCAUAAUGCACUCUAGGUGUUUGGUGAUAUUUCCCAGUUGGGAAUUAGUUGCAAGGAGUUAGUUCAAGAUUUAGCUAUCUCCCUUUUUUAAUGUCAACUACGCACGUAUAAUUUCAAAUAUAUAUAUAAUCUAUAUCAACUA
Salvia splendens (bonfire salvia) is the source of this 3497-nucleotide long non-coding RNA. RefSeq lists it as uncharacterized. The record is from RefSeq and is a predicted model, not a curated record. Lineage: Eukaryota; Viridiplantae; Streptophyta; Magnoliopsida; Lamiales; Lamiaceae. The transcript is spliced from 3 exons.